RNAcentral lists this transfer RNA (59 nucleotides) under Acanthogammarus victorii. RNAcentral describes it as "tRNA-Met". The record is from RNAcentral. Lineage: Eukaryota; Metazoa; Arthropoda; Malacostraca; Amphipoda; Acanthogammaridae.
UAAAAGAUAAGCUCGUGUAAGCUAAAGGGUACAUGUCCCUUUAACGGCCCCUCUUUUGA